Molecule: small RNA, 159 nt
Filed under: Jatrophihabitans endophyticus
Lineage: Bacteria; Bacillati; Actinomycetota; Actinomycetes; Jatrophihabitantales; Jatrophihabitantaceae
Description: c-di-AMP sequence
Rfam family: c-di-AMP riboswitch aptamer (ydaO/yuaA leader)
About the family: This family represents a conserved RNA structure found upstream of the ydaO and yuaA genes in Bacillus subtilis and related genes in other bacteria.
Source: Rfam by way of RNAcentral
GUCCACCGACGGCCGAGAUCACGUCAGCGAACCGGGGACCCAAUCAGUCCCGGGGUGAAUCGGUACGGCGUCGACACGUCAUCCGCGUCGACAUCGUCCGUAGGGCUUCUUCCCGCCCGAACCCGUCAGCUAACCCGGUAGGCGGUCGAGGAAGAAGGA